UNGAUGUUGCCCUGGAUCUGGGUGCGAGU
Molecule: non-coding RNA, 29 nt
Filed under: Mus musculus (house mouse)
Lineage: Eukaryota; Metazoa; Chordata; Mammalia; Rodentia; Muridae
Source: RNAcentral